GCCAGCAGCCGCGGUAAUACGGGGGGUGCGAGCGUUGUUCGGAAUUAUUGGGCGUAAAGAGCGUGUAGGCGGCUGGAUCAGUCAGAUGUGAAAUCCCUGGGCUUAACCCAGGACGUGCAUUUGAAACUGUCCAGCUUGAGUAGGGGAGAGGAAAGUGGAAUUCCUGGUGUAGAGGUGAAAUUCGUAGAUAUCAGGAGGAACACCGGUGGCGAAGGCGACUUUCUGGCCCUAUACUGACGCUGAGACGCGAGAGCGUGGGUAGCAAACAGGAUUAGAUACCCUGGUAGUCCACGCUGUAAACGAUGUUCACUAGGUGUUGGGGGUAUUGACCCUCUCAGUGCCGCAGCUAACGCAUUAAGUGAACCGCCUGGGGAGUACGGUCGCAAGAUUAAAACUCAAAGGA
This 403-nucleotide ribosomal RNA is filed under the name uncultured bacterium. RNAcentral's name for it is "bacterial SSU rRNA". It matches the Rfam family "Bacterial small subunit ribosomal RNA", at positions 507 to 908 of the family's 1533-position model. The record is from RNAcentral.